This 254-nucleotide ribosomal RNA is filed under the name uncultured bacterium. RNAcentral describes it as "partial 16S ribosomal RNA". It matches the Rfam family "Bacterial small subunit ribosomal RNA", at positions 524 to 776 of the family's 1533-position model. The record is from RNAcentral.
UACGAGGGGAGCAAGCGUUGUUCGGAUUUACUGGGCGUAAAGGGCGCGUAGGCGGCCACCGCAAGUCGACUGUGAAAUCUCCGGGCUUAACCCGGAAAGGUCAGCCGAUACUGCGGGGCUAGAGUGCAGAAGGGGCAACUGGAAUUCUCGGUGUAGCGGUGAAAUGCGUAGAUAUCGAGAGGAACACCAGAGGCGAAGGCGGCGGCCUGGACAGUUACUGACACUCAACUACGAAAGCGUGGGGAGCAAACAGG